UUAAAAUCUAUAAGAAUCACGCUGGAUGAUGUACAUAGCGACAAUAAUCUUCCUGAGACCACGUAUAACUAAAUUCUAGUAGCAUUUUAUCGUGUUGAAGUUGGUGAACAAGUUAACGUUUCUGAGCAGUGUACUAGUUUUUUGCGACGGUUAUCGUUCCCGCAAAUCCAACGCUGUCUCUGUUUAAAUUUAGACUGUAUGGCAACCCGAAGUGGUGGAAAGUUUAUAGCUUUGAUCUAUUGUAAAUGAAGAUUUAUGUACUGAUAAGAAGAGAAUUACAAAGAUUUAGCAUCCAUCGUUGUCGAUCUUAUCACCAUCCAAACACACAGGACUCAUAUAUAUCGUCUCUCUACCAGUUUGUUACAACAAUUUUAGCUACCUUUUCUAAAACCACACUUUCACUCUUUUGUAAAGCAACGACUAUAAUAGAAAAGACACAAAUUCAACUAGAGGUUCUUAAAGUCUAAUCAUCCUGUUGACUUUGCUUCACUUGUAUUGAUCUCGUCUUCUUUCUCUGCCAAGUCUCUCUUCUUC
This 534-nucleotide long non-coding RNA is filed under the name Eutrema salsugineum. Its description in RNAcentral is "long non-coding RNA (ESAL_LNC001704)". The record is from RNAcentral. Lineage: Eukaryota; Viridiplantae; Streptophyta; Magnoliopsida; Brassicales; Brassicaceae.